This 203-nucleotide long non-coding RNA is filed under the name Fukomys damarensis (Damara mole-rat). RNAcentral's name for it is "lncRNA (ENSFDAG00000023414.1)". Lineage: Eukaryota; Metazoa; Chordata; Mammalia; Rodentia; Bathyergidae. The record is from RNAcentral.
GUCAGCAAGUACAUAAACUGUUGGAAUGUGGCCAAUGUCCUCCUGACUCAUGACUCAGUCACAGCUUAGCUUGUUGCUUUCUGAAUAAAUGCCAGUCAGGGCUUUAGAGUAGGAAACUUGGUCAACGAAUGCUGGACUACACACUUAGCCUUCAAGGUCAAAGCCCAAGUUUUCUUCAUGAUGAUCCUUAUAUUUAAAUCACA